AUGACCAUUUUCAUGGUGAUCUUGGACGAGCCGGGGGGACCCCCCUGCCUGUCCUUCCUCUGCCUCGACCCCCUGAACGGCUACCUCGUGGGACACGGCCUCCCCCUUGCUGCUCUGAUCCUCCUCCCCCACAACCACGUUAUCCAACUCAUCAUCCUGAAGAUCCAGGUGUUGCAGCAUCUCCUCCAGAUUCUUCCCCAUACAUCCCGUAGUAGACGAACCCGCCUGAGCCGCCAUCUAGGGUUUGCCCCUUCGACUGCGUGCCAACUACUGAUGAGCCGUGCGAUCCUCUCUGAGAACACACCACAGGCCAGGCAAAUACCAGCAAGAAAAAUCCAAGGUGGGGAAGUUGUUGGAUGCGGCGGUUGUGCCUGGUGUCGUACGACCGGAAAAUGGGCGGCGGCGGCUAGGGCAGCGAGGAGUGGGAAACGAACAGUCGGCCAUGCUUCUUCCUCCCAGCAGCAUACCACCACCUCCUCCUCCGGUACUCCGCUCACCGCGCGCGCCUCCAUCUUUACGCACGGUAUCCUCCUCUCCUCCUCGCCUUCCUCGAUCUGCAAUGGUGUUAGUCUCAGCGCCUUCUACUCCAGUGCCCACAACCUGUUUGUCGAAUUGCUUGCUAUAGUCCGGCUGGCCAACACAACACUAGUUUUGUGGCCGCAAGCCCGCAAGCGCUUCUGGAUGCCGCUAUGGUCUGAACUGGGCAUGACCAUGAACUCUUGGGAGCCGGCCAGCUCUGUUCUAGCACUGGAAUCAACUGCAGCCGAAGACGUGUCUUGCUUUCACUUCCCUGGACACAACCAAGGGAAAGCUGUUCCAUCUUCAUUGUCGAACCUAAUUGGCACGGGGGCGUUUUUGCAUGACUUGCCCGAGCUACCUGAGCUGGAUGACCUCUUCUACCCUAAGGGUGUGAUUUUGGAUGCUCAGAACCGGGCAGCUCAACUGUUUGGAUCAUCUAAGAUGUGGUUCCUAGUCAACAGGCGUACCUGUGGAAUCCAGGCCGCUGUGAUGGGCACCUGCUGCCCCGGUGACUACAUCGUUGUGCCUCGAAACUGUCACAUUUCAGUGAUCUCUGCCCUGAUUCUGUCAGCGAUGUGCAAGGUAUCGUCGAUGUUUGCCAUCCCUUACAUUUCGGUUAUAGUUGACUUGACGAGGCUCAUGAUGCGCACUUCAGGUUCCAUGACAGUUUUCCAAGCACGGCGAUUGAGCAAGUCCUCGAUGCUUCACAUGGCUGGAGGUCUGGUUGAUGCAGAUAAAGUGAGCCACUGCAUUCAGUUGCUCCAAAGCUCAAGCCCGAGUUACCUCCUACUGUCGUCUUUAGAUGCUGCAAGAGCUCAGUUGAGUGAGAAUGGAAAAUAUUUUGAUGACUCGGUGGCGAUGGCUUUAGAAACAAAAGAUCAACUGAUGCGUAUCACACUAAGUGCUUCAGAUCUACAUUUAUCUGGAUACGAAGCAGACGACAUUUUGGAAGAGCCUCAAAUUGUAUCUGAGCUUGUUGGAACACAGGCGGGGACAAUUGCAGUUAACUUAGGGACCAGAAGGCAAGAUGUUCAAAAGCUUGUACACCCACUUGUAAGCCCAGCCAUUGCCUGCUUUGCUGCCACACGAACAGAGCCGGUCUGGACAAACCAGACGCCCCCGACCAGGACGAACCCUAGGAUUGGCCCUCCUCUGCCCGCCGCCGCCCGAGGAAUCUCCGGCCACCGGAAUCCCUUCUCUCCUCCGUCCGGCGGAUCGGCUCCACCGUCCUUCCCAAAUCCUUGCCUCCGAGCUUCCCCUUUCUCCUCCGCGCCUUACGUCGCCCCCGACAACCGAGUUAUGCUGCUGAUCUAUGGAGUAAAUGGGUAUCUCGGAAAACAAGGGGAGUUUCUCGCCUGGGGCGUCAGCGAAUCCUGGGUCCGCCAUUGCGCAAUGCUCACACCGGAGCGCCGCUACAAGAUCUGGCAUGAGAUCCGGGCAAGACAAGUCGCGUGCGCCGCCCGCAUCACUGUCGGGCUGCCUCCGGACUCGCCGGAGCCGGACGAGGAGGAGCAGCCGGGGAAGAGGAGGAGUAGCUGGCUUCGAUGGAGGUGGAGGAGGCGGAGCAGCUAG
RNAcentral lists this ribosomal RNA (2091 nucleotides) under Triticum aestivum (bread wheat). RNAcentral's name for it is "partial small subunit ribosomal RNA". Lineage: Eukaryota; Viridiplantae; Streptophyta; Magnoliopsida; Poales; Poaceae. The record is from RNAcentral.